RNAcentral lists this ribosomal RNA (309 nucleotides) under Triticum aestivum (bread wheat). Its description in RNAcentral is "partial small subunit ribosomal RNA". Lineage: Eukaryota; Viridiplantae; Streptophyta; Magnoliopsida; Poales; Poaceae. The record is from RNAcentral.
AUGCCGCAGCUCGGGAGGUGCCCAUCUCAACCGUUCCACAUCUCCCCCUGGACGUUCAUGCUCCUCUGGUGUACAUUCAGUUCAUGUUGUAGCUAUGGUCAUUCUAUUAUGAUUUUCAGCUCAUCUUGUGUGGUUUCUUUCUUCAGCCCCAAGUGGCAAAUUUGUUCUGUAGCAUAUGGUAUCAUUGAGCUGCACUUGUGUGUACUGUCCCUCUUCCCCUGCCUCCUCAAGCGCCGCUGCUGUCUUGUGCUUGUUGUUCGACAAGUGUUUGUCUUAAUGCUUAGAGAAGAGACUUGUUUUCUGUACUAA